This is a long non-coding RNA of Gavialis gangeticus (Gharial), 738 nucleotides long. RefSeq lists it as uncharacterized. The record is from RefSeq and is a predicted model, not a curated record. The transcript has 2 exons. NCBI's taxonomy places the organism in Eukaryota, Metazoa, Chordata, Crocodylia, Gavialidae.
AAAAAACUCCUUGAAAGGGAAAACCUCGGUGAGAACAUGUUACAGAAACAGAAGAAAGGUGAAACCCCAGUUUUCAAUCAGAUGCUCUGUGCCAACAAGAGGUUUCUGACUGUGCAGCUUCAGGUCACAGCCUGGAACAAGCCACGUGGAGAUGGAUGCCCCUAGAUCCUAACCAGACUGAUACUGGGAAUAAAUAAAACAACACUGUGAUUUUAACUGCAAGCAAGCACAUCAACUCCACUCCACGCAGGCUAUUUAAUGUCACGAGCUUUUUUUUUUUUUUUUUUUUUAAGGGGACAUUUUAAUCAUUCCUGCCUAGGUUUCAUCUUUUGCCUGUGAAAGUGAGUUGGGGGGGGGGGCUUGUCUCUAAUCUUUGUCACCGCCCUGGAUCAGACCUCACUCCAAAUCUCUCUUGAGGUCUUACAGAUCAAUCUGCACAAGACAUCAGGAGACAGGCCCGAGGAGCGAUGGCUAAUAAACCUAAAGUGCUGGUUGUCGUCUGUUGUUGGCUUCAGUCCCAAAUCACAUGCAUUAGGAAUGCUGAAAAAAAGAAGAAAUAUGUAGGAAGCCAACAUUUCCACAUGCCGAACGAUGAGACUUUCUGCCAGGAAUCCUCUUGCCAGACAACUGUUUGGACAUGGUGCCAUGCUUCAGUAGAGUUAUAUGAUUCAAUCCCCCCAAGGGUGUAUGUUACAACUGUAUCUGGCUCCUUCCAAGAUAAAUAGUCCAUUUUCAAGA